GAAAUGCGAAAGUUAAUGCGAAUUGCAGAAUUCAGUGAAUCAUCGAGUCUUUGAACGCACAUUGCGCCCGCCGGCAUUCCGGGGGGCAUGCCUGUCCGAGCGUCAUUACGCACCCUCAAGCCCGGCUUGUGUGAUGGGCCCUGGCGUCUCGUUCGCGAGACGGGCCCGAAAGGCAGCGGCGGCGUCGACCCGAUGAGCCCGAGCGUAUGGGGACUUUUGUCACACGUUUGCGGUGCGGACCGGCGCCUGCUUGACUUUUCUGAUUAUCCAGGUUGACCUCGGAUCAGGUAGGGAUACCCGCUGAACUUAAGC
This 312-nucleotide unclassified non-coding RNA is filed under the name plant metagenome. RNAcentral describes it as "partial contains 5.8S ribosomal RNA, internal transcribed spacer 2, and large subunit ribosomal RNA". The stretch from base 1 to 105 matches the Rfam family "5.8S ribosomal RNA", at positions 50 to 154 of the family's 154-position model. The record is from RNAcentral.